Molecule: long non-coding RNA, 363 nt
Organism: Vidua chalybeata
Lineage: Eukaryota; Metazoa; Chordata; Aves; Passeriformes; Viduidae
Exons: 3
Source: RefSeq, a predicted model, not a curated record
GUUCGUGAGAGUCCAGACACAGGUGGACGGAAUUGGCCAUCAGGCUCAAGCAAUCCUCACCAGAAUCCAAUCAAGCAAUCACCCCAGUUUGCUGAGCUGGUUGGUUCCUCUCAAAGUAUUCGAGUAUUGUCCAUUUUCCCGUUACCAGCAGCACAGCUGGCAUUUACACAGACAAUGGGCUCUCCCCAUGUGACAGCAGUGAAAUUGGAGUAAAACCGCCCGUAGUCAACUUGUGGAGAAAACAGCUUUAUCCUUUCAGCUAAGCCCUCACAGAGUAAUGCAGUUGAGAAACUCGCGUUAUUGGCGGUUUUCCUGGAAAUUACAGAGCUCUUUGCUUUUAGGCUUCCAGACUACCGGCCUCAA